AUACGGAGGGUCCAAGCGUUGUUCGGAUUUAUUGGGCGUAAAGCGAGUGUAGGCGGUUUGACAAGUCGGAUGUGAAAUCCCAGGGCCCAACCCUGGAACUGCAUCCGAUACUGUCAGGCUAGAGUCCCGGAGAGGGUGGCGGAAUUCCCGGUGUAGGGGUGAAAUCCGUAGAUAUCGGGAGGAACACCAGUGGCGAAGGCGGCCACCUGGACGGUGACUGACGCUGAGACUCGAAAGCGUGGGUAGCAAACAGGAUUAGAAACCCGAGUAGUCC
RNAcentral lists this ribosomal RNA (274 nucleotides) under uncultured bacterium. Its description in RNAcentral is "partial 16S ribosomal RNA". It matches the Rfam family "Bacterial small subunit ribosomal RNA", at positions 523 to 796 of the family's 1533-position model. The record is from RNAcentral.